AAUGCCCGAGGCAGCCUGAGCGCGGCUGGGGCUCGGAAAGCGCCAAGCAGGCAGGGACCGAGAGGGGUGAUGGCGCGCCCACCCCUGCAGAGCCGCCUGCGCGGUUGUCCCGCGCGUCCCUGCCGGCGAAGGCUGUGAGAAGCACCGCGGGGCUACGGCGCCUCCAUCCUCUCUAACAGCCGCGCUUACCAGACAGCCAGCCUCCAGCGCUGCUAGGCUACUCCGAGCAGGGGAGAAAAGACGCCGGUCCGCCGGGGACCAGGAGGGAGACGUGAAACCAGAGGCCCGGGGGCCCCCUCUCCGCCUGUGCGACUUGUAGUCUCGUACCAGACGCGUCCGCUUCACUGCUGAAUCUGAAAACGUGGGCUCUUGAGAGCUGCCCUUGGAAGGAGCUGUGCUUUCUGCCUCAUCUUUAACUUUUCGUUUAUUCAGCAAAUAUGUAUCAAGUUCCGACUUCGUGGAAGAGAUUGUGUUAGACACUGGGAGUAAUAGAAACAUAAUUAAGAAGCAGGGGUCCCGGACCUGAAGGGCCUGAGCGUCGGGUAAGGAGGCAACGCUUACACCGAACCUGUGCUGAGAUAAAUAACGAACAGUUCUGGCUCUUAGAGUUGGCCUGGGGGAACAAAAAUUCAAAAAGAAUAAAACCCCAAACAAACAGGAGGCUCUCCUUUGUCCUUUGAACGCCUCUGUCCCUUUGACCCUCCUGGCCUUGCGUGUGCUGCUUUUCCCAGUAAAUACUGCAAGGACUCUAUUCAGACUUUGUUUAUUUAUAUAUGUAUUUUAGAUGGAGUCUCGCUCUGUUGCCCAGGCUGGAGUGUAGUGGCACAAUCUCGGCUCACUGCAACCUCCGCCUCCUGGGUUCAAGCGAUUCUCCUGCCUCAGGCUCUCAAAUAGCUGGGAUUACAGGCGUGCACCACUAUGCUGGCCUGAUUUUUUGUAUUUUUAGUAGAGACGGGGUUUCGCCAUGUUGGCCAGGCUGGUCUUGAACUCUUGGCCUCAAGUGAUCCGCCCCCCUUCAGCCUCCCAAAGUGCUGGGAUUCCAGGCGUGAGCCACCGGGCCCGGCCUCAAUUCAGACUUUAUCUGCUUCAAGAAACCUCUCUGGGAUCCUCCGUCACUUCACUUUUUCAGGCAGCGUUAGGGCCUUGUCCUAACGCUUUGGGACGGGGUCCUAAUACUGUCUGAAGGAGCGAAGUGUUGGAAUGCUCAAACAGUACACUUCGUUGAUUUUGUACUGCCUCCUGUACCCUAGACUUUGAACCCUUUGAGACAGAUUAAAUGUGAUUUUGGUCUUGUAUUCCUCGCUGCCGUGUGCUGCUGAUUAAAAGUUUUUAUUUUG
Molecule: long non-coding RNA, 1337 nt
Filed under: Homo sapiens (human)
Lineage: Eukaryota; Metazoa; Chordata; Mammalia; Primates; Hominidae
Description: non-protein coding LINC00535:6
Source: RNAcentral